GAUGAGCGCUGGCGGCGUGCUUAACACAUGCAAGUCGAGCGAGUGAGUUCUUCGGAACGAUCUAGCGGCGGACGGGUGAGUAACACGUGGGCAACCUGCCUCAUAGAGGGGAAUAGCCUCCCGAAAGGGAGAUUAAUACCGCAUAAAAUUAUCGAGUGGCAUCACAUGAUAAUCAAAGGAGUAAUCCGCUAUGAGAUGGGCCCGCGGCGCGUUAGCUAGUUGGUGAGGUAACGGCUCACCAAGGCGACGAUGCGUAGCCGACCUGAGAGGGUGAUCGGCCACAUUGGGACUGAGACACGGCCCAGACUCCUACGGGAGGCAGCAGUGGGGAAUAUUGCACAAUGGGGGAAACCCUGAUGGAGCGAUGCCGCGUGCAGGAAGACGCUUUUCGGAGUGUAAACUGCUUUUAAUAGGGAAGAUUAUGACGGUACCUAUAGAAUAAGGACCGGCUAACUACGUGCCAGCAGCCGCAGUAA
Molecule: ribosomal RNA, 476 nt
Filed under: uncultured bacterium
Lineage: Bacteria
Description: partial 16S ribosomal RNA
Rfam family: Bacterial small subunit ribosomal RNA
Source: RNAcentral